Molecule: ribosomal RNA, 119 nt
Filed under: Phytophthora cinnamomi
Lineage: Eukaryota; Oomycota; Peronosporomycetes; Peronosporales; Peronosporaceae
Also listed under: 18 other names
Description: 5.8S ribosomal RNA
Rfam family: 5.8S ribosomal RNA
About the family: 5.8S ribosomal RNA (5.8S rRNA) is a component of the large subunit of the eukaryotic ribosome. It is transcribed by RNA polymerase I as part of the 45S precursor that also contains 18S and 28S rRNA.
Source: RNAcentral
CAACUUUCAGCAGUGGAUGUCUAGGCUCGCACAUCGAUGAAGAACGCUGCGAACUGCGAUACGUAAUGCGAAUUGCAGGAUUCAGUGAGUCAUCGAAAUUUUGAACGCAUAUUGCACUU